AGGCGGUCCCUGGUUGUGGAGGGCGUCGCGAUGGGUGGGGCGGAGCGUCUGUGGUCCUCCUGGAACCUUGCAUCCCGGGCAGUUUUGCAGAACACUGAUAUCUAUGGACGCUAACAUGGACUUCAUUUAAAGAAAUCCACGGACCAUAAAUGGACAAAAACAUGAAUCAGUUUAUGUUGUGGCAUUCAAAUCCUAGCACUUUGGGAAAGCAUCAAGUACAAGUUUUUGAAGACCCUGGGGCCUACCAUCAUUAUGCAUUCAAGAUUUGAGUUUGAAUAACUUCUUCAAGACUUAGAUCCUCUUCAAAAGCCUCAAGUCUCAUCUGCAUUAAAGCUCUCCAUUGAACCCUCUCACAAAAGAGCAUAGAGCAGAACAUUUCACACUGCAUCCCACCUGGUAAGAGUAAGUAUGUUUUCGUUAUAUGUAUGUGUGAAUGUGUGUGUGUUUGUGUUUGUGUACUUGGUCAUUAAAUAAAAUACAUUUUUUUUCCCUGUGAGUUGCAGUCGCUGAUCCAGGUGUGUUAUUUUAGUACUAAUGCUUUCCUACACAUUUGGGUUCUUAGGAAACUUUCUUUUCACUUCGUACCACUACUGCUUGUGACAAAGGAAUAGAUAAUUAGUAUCAGUUUGAUUUUUGGUCUAAUUAAUGAGAUUUUGUAAUUUCAGAGCACAGAGGUAUUUUAUUUAGUAAUACCAUCCACUUUGACACCUAGACUAUUAAAACAUGUAAGGUUGGUUCAACCUCAUACUAGUAGAAAGAUUGUAUCAAAUGUUUUUUCUUUUAAUUUUUUUUUGCUUUUAUUUC
Non-coding RNA from Leptonychotes weddellii (Weddell seal), 804 nucleotides. NCBI's taxonomy places the organism in Eukaryota, Metazoa, Chordata, Mammalia, Carnivora, Phocidae. The record is from RefSeq and is a predicted model, not a curated record.